UACGAAGGGUGCAAGCGUUAAUCGGAAUUACUGGGCGUAAAGGGUGCGUAGGCGGUUCGUUAAGUCUGUUGUGAAAUCCCCGGGCUCAACCUGGGAAUGGCAAUGGAUACUGGCGGGCUAGAGUGCGGUAGAGGAAGGUGGAAUUCCCGGUGUAGCGGUGAAAUGCGUAGAGAUCGGGAGGAACACCAGUGGCGAAGGCGGCCUUCUGGACCAGCACUGACACUCAAGCACGAAAGCGUGGGGAGCAAACAGG
RNAcentral lists this ribosomal RNA (253 nucleotides) under uncultured bacterium. RNAcentral describes it as "partial 16S ribosomal RNA". It matches the Rfam family "Bacterial small subunit ribosomal RNA", at positions 524 to 776 of the family's 1533-position model. The record is from RNAcentral.